GACGAACGCUGGCGGCGUGCUUAACACAUGCAAGUCGAACGAAGCUAGAUUACGGUUUCUUCGCUGGAGGUAGGAUAUGACUGAGUGGCGGCCGGUUGAGUACCUCGUUAUUAAACUGCCCUACCGUGGGGGAUAGCGUGUUGAUACGAACGGUAAUACUGCAUCAUGUAUUUUAACCGCAUGAGCGAAAUUCCAUAGAUCUAUCGCUGAAGGAUGGACUGGCUUCUGCUUAGGGAGUCGGUGGGGUAUCGGCCUACCAAGCUGACGAUCAGUAGCAGGAGAGAGGGGUCGAUCGGCAACAUUGGGAGGGAGACACGGCUCAGACUCCUACGGGAGGGAGCAGUGGGGAAUAUUGCAAAAUGGGCGCAAGCCUGAUGCGGCAACGGCGCGUGAAGGAAGACGGUUUUCGAAUUGUAAACUUCUGUUCUUAGUGAAGAAUAAUGACGGUAGCUAAGGAGCAAGCCACGGCUAACUACGUG
This 479-nucleotide ribosomal RNA is filed under the name uncultured bacterium. Its description in RNAcentral is "partial 16S ribosomal RNA". It matches the Rfam family "Bacterial small subunit ribosomal RNA", at positions 28 to 507 of the family's 1533-position model. The record is from RNAcentral.